CAUGUUACAUGCUGUUUACAUGUGGACAGACGACUGGAACCUCAGGAUCUGCCUGCUGAGUUGAGGCUCAAACCCUAAAUAAACACACCAGACUUUUCACUUGUAAAUUGCAGUAUGUCCGUCUGCAGGAAGACAGAUCUCAAGGAUUCAGAGCCUUGAACGUGAUUUCUCCACUCACUCUUCAUCAGUUAUUCUGAGGAUGUUGGGACUCGGCCGCCUCGGAGGCCUGGACUGUCAUUUGAUGUCACAGAGCAUCCUAUGGCAAAGUACGUGAAAGAUUUUCACCCCCGGCUGAUUGGAUUGACGGGAACUGCAGAGGAAGUGAAGCAUGCAGGACGCGAUUAUAGGGUCUAUGCCAGCGCUGGGCCUAAAGGUGAGGAUGGGGAUCAUAUUGUGGACCACACCAUCAUCAUCUACCUGGUUAAUCCAGACGGACUCUUCCUGGACUACUACAAUAGAAUGAAAAGCGAUGUUCAGAUUGCUGAGAGUAUACGUAAUCAUAUGAUAAACUAUGUUAAAUUAUUUCCAGAUUAAUCUAAAUGGGGGGAAAAUGCUUGCACAAUAAAGCUGUAUUUCAAAACAC
Carassius auratus (goldfish) is the source of this 583-nucleotide long non-coding RNA. RefSeq lists it as uncharacterized. The record is from RefSeq and is a predicted model, not a curated record. The transcript is spliced from 2 exons. NCBI's taxonomy places the organism in Eukaryota, Metazoa, Chordata, Actinopteri, Cypriniformes, Cyprinidae.